ACCUAGUAUUGGGCAGAGGAUACACUAUUCCUAGGGAAACCUCUUAACACUUACCCUACUUGCAACUAGAGCGCGUGGAAAACCUCCCACACUGGCCACGCUGAAAGCCAAGCCGCCGUUCGAUCAGUUCGUCACCGGUGCGUGAGAUACAGAAUUCGAUCCUUUCCGGUAGAACAGAGACGCACACAGGAGACAAAGGAGAGAGAGAGAAGUUUGGAAAUUCGGAUCGAAUACGUUCUGUAUCGGGUUGUCGAAAAAUCGGAACCCUAAUUUUCGUCUUCUUUUUGACAAAGAUUAAUUGCACAGGGUUUUCGAUUUCUUGAAUCGAACAGACCUGUAUGGCUUCGGGUGCAUUAUGUGCUAACGAAUCGAGAGAGAAGCGUAGAUGGGGAGAAAACAACGAAGUCUAUACGCGGAAGAUUCACAACAAGGGCAUCAAGAGCAACAGUAACACUACCAUCACAACCACCAAUCACAGCAAUAACGAAAGCAACAACCCUCAACAGUGUUUGCAAACCCUAGCUACUGAAGAGGCUAAUUCUUCACAGCCACAGCAAAGCCUGUCGCGAUUAGAUGCGCAUUCUGAUGUAUUAGGUGUUAACGAAUCGAGAGAGAAGCGUAGAUGGGGAGAAAACAACGAAGUCUAUACGCGGAAGAUUCACAACAAGGGCAUCAAGAGCAACAGUAACACUACCAUCACAACCACCAAUCACAGCAAUAACGAAAGCAACAACGUUCCUGCACAGUGUUCGCAAACCCUAGCUACUGAAGAGACUAAUUCUUCACAGCCACAGCAAACCCUGUCGCGAUUAGAUGCCCAUUCUGAUGUUUCUUCGAAACACAAUCAAGAAACCCAUUUUGGCGUUCCAAAUGGCUGUGAACUGCCCAAUGGAAAUGGGGUGAACAAACCAGUUGUUACAAAAGUUGACAAUCGGGUAAAGAUUAAUUUAGCAGCAGCUAGAUUGAACAAUGAGAUUGAGGAACUUAGGAGGAAGCUAGGGAGUGAGCUUGAUGAGGUGAGGAGUCUAGUGAAAGUGCUUGAAGCUAGGGAGGUUCAGCUUAAUGGGUAUUCUACUGCUACAGGUGGUUCUAGUCAUUUACUGCACUCUGCGAAUGAUGUGAUAAACAAGGCACAUUUAGUGAUGGUGAAUUCGGAUGCAUGUUCAGUGGCUCCUAAUGAUUCGGGGCCUUUCCAGCAGCUAAGUGUUUCUGUGAUGGAGAACAAUCAUGGAGUUGGUGAAUUUGCUGAGAAAGAUAAGAGAACUCCGAAAGCAAAUACUUACUACCAAAAUUCAGACUUUGUUCUUGGGAAGGAAAGGUUACCCACUCAUGGAAGUAACAAGAAGUUGAAAUCAAGUGGUGGGAGGAAGCUUAAUGGUGAAAUACGAGGUGGGUUUGCUAUGGAUAUGUGUAUGAGUCAAGCGUUUAAGAGCUGUAGCGAUUUGCUCACGAAGUUGAUGAAGAACAAGCAUGCUUGGGUGUUUAAUAAGCCAGUUGAUGCCAAGGCACUUGGGCUCCAUGACUAUGAUGAUGUAAUUGAGCACCCUAUGGACUUGGGCACAGUUAUGAGUAAGCUAGCCAAGAAUUGGUACAAGUCUCCGAGGGAAUUCGCUGAGGAUGUGAGACUUACUUUCCGUAAUGCCAUGACGUAUAAUCCAAAGGGGCAGGACGUUCAUGCUAUGGCAGAACAGUCGUCCCUGAUUUUUGAAGAGGAAUGGGCAGUUAUAGAGGCAAAGUAUAAUCUUGGUCAAAGGUUUGACAUGGUUUAUGGCAUUGGCAUGUCUUCUCCCACUUCGAGGAAGUCUCAUCUCCCGUUUGCUCCUCCUCCCCAGCAUGCUCUUGACAAGAUGAGUUUGGAUAGGUCAGAAUCAAUGAAAAAGCCCGUGGAUGCAAAAUUGAAACCCUCAAAUUUUGCUCGAGUAGGCAGGACUCCAGUUCCAAAAAAACCUAAAGCAAAGGAUACUAGCAAAAGGGACAUGACUUAUGAGGAGAAGCAAAGGCUCAGCACAAACCUUCAGAGGUUACCCUCGGAAAAGCUGGACAACAUUGUCCAGAUCAUUAAGAAGAGCAACUCAGCACUUUGCCAACAUGAUGAUGAGAUUGAGGUGGACAUUGACAGCCUUGAUGCAGAAACACUUUGGGACCUUGAUAGGUGUGUGACCAAUUACAAAAAGAAUUUGAGUAAGAAAAAGAGAAAAGCCGAACUUGCUUUUCACUAAAGAAUAGAAGCUAGUGAUGCUAUCCCAGAAACGGUAAGACCUUGAAUUGCAAAUUUUCCAAUAUUCCCGCAGGGAAGUCCUUUUGGCUUGUGCAUUAAUUUAUUAUCAUUGCAGAAUCCAUCCCUGGCCAUUGUGGAGGAACCAAAAGAAACUAAAACGGUGACAGUUUUAAAACAUGACGAUUGUUGGUGUUUUAGUCUUACGUUCAUGUGCUGAUUUGAAUGCCAACCUACUUAUUUUGCAUUGUUGAAUUCGAAUCAGUUGGUAUUUUAAGCAGAUGAAAAGAAUAUUGUUACUUCUUCUCCUGUUCGAGAAAGGCAAGGGGAUAAGGCAAGUAGUUCAAGCAGUUCUAGUAGUGAUUCUGGCUCUUCUUCAAGUGAUGCAGGGCAUUCACCUAGGACAUGAAUGAAUCCUUUAAGGGAAUCAGACAGAUGGUAUAAAUGCCUCCAUUUCUGCCUCUAGUACCUUUGGCCUUUCAUCCCUGUUCUGCCAAGCACCAGCAUCUGUAGUAGAUGAAUGUUGAUUCACGUUGACACCUGCCUUGCCAUUUUUGGGAGUGCUCAUUCUGCUUGUGAAUAUGAUGGGUGUAGCAGGGAGCUAAGGUGUUAUUGUUUGGCUGCAGAGUGGUAUCCUUCCCUUAGAUGUUUUUGGAUGGUUUAGAUCUUAGAAGUCUUAAUUCUUACCAUUACUUGAAACUUGUUGUUUUGCAUUUAAAGUUGUUGAAAGAUUGUGUAUGAUAACUAUAGGAUAUAGUGGUGAUGGGAGUUCUUGUCUGGUAAGACGUAAAUUUCCAGGAAUUGCUUCCAAUUUCAGUUAUGAGAAACUUAUGCUAGGUAUUAUAUUAUUUGUAUCAGUGCAUCAUAGUCUCCAUUCACAUCAUAGAAGGGGAGACCAGUACUAUAUAUAACAGGUCUAGGUCAUUAGAGUUUACUUUGAAGGAUAAUGCUGGUCCGUUAUGCCCACAGUUAGUUCCAAUUAUAACCCUUUGCUUAAGCAAGGGAGUGCACUUGCAAGUUGAAGCUACAUCAAGGGCAAAUAGUUAAGGGCAAAAUAGUCUCCGGGUCACCGUGCUACUCAUUUCCCUCGAUUCUGCUCGUGGUUCUUUUCUUUUCUGUUUUUUUUCCUCCCCUAAGUUUCCUUUUGGUUGGUUUUUUCUGUAACUUUAUUAUUAUUAGUGGAUGGAUCUUUCAGCAUAAUGCAUGCUUUUGACUCCUUGAAUUAAAGCAAUAUACACAAGUAUGUCAAAAUUCCAUUUCUGUAACUUGAA
Molecule: RNA transcript, 3486 nt
Organism: Cornus florida
Lineage: Eukaryota; Viridiplantae; Streptophyta; Magnoliopsida; Cornales; Cornaceae
Gene name: transcription factor GTE4-like
Exons: 5
Source: RefSeq, a predicted model, not a curated record